Molecule: ribosomal RNA, 460 nt
Filed under: uncultured bacterium
Lineage: Bacteria
Description: partial 16S ribosomal RNA
Rfam family: Bacterial small subunit ribosomal RNA
Source: RNAcentral
CCUACGGGUGGCAGCAGUGAGGAAUAUUGGUCAAUGGACGAGAGUCUGAACCAGCCAAGUAGCGUGAAGGAUGACUGCCCUAUGGGUUGUAAACUUCUUUUAUAAAGGAAUAAAACGAGGCACGUGUGCCUUUUUGUAUGUACUUUAUGAAUAAGGAUCGGCUAACUCCGUACCAGCAGCCGCGGUAAUACGGAGGAUCCGAGCGUUAUCCGGAUUUAUUGGGUUUAAAGGGAGCGUAGAUGGGUUGUUAAGUCAGUUGUGAAAGUUUGCGGCUCAACCGUAAAAUUGCAAUUGAUACUGGCAGUCUUGAGUACAGUUGAGGUAGGCGGAAUUCGUGGUGUAGCGGUGAAAUGCUUAGAUAUCACGAAGAACCCCGAUUGCGAAGGCAGCUUACUAAACUGUGACUGACAUUGAUGCUCGAAAGUGUGGGUAUCAAACAGGAUUAGAUACCCGAGUAGUC